ACCUACGGCCAUGCCACCCUGAACACGCCUGAUCCUGUCUGAUCUUGGAAGCUAAGCAGGGUCGGGCCCAGUUAGUACUUGGAUGGGAGACCACACAGGAAGACUGGGUGCUGUAGGUG
RNAcentral lists this ribosomal RNA (119 nucleotides) under Pteropus alecto (black flying fox). The record is from RNAcentral. Lineage: Eukaryota; Metazoa; Chordata; Mammalia; Chiroptera; Pteropodidae.